UUUAUCUCAGAACCAGACCCAGAGGUGAUUUACACAUCUCACUGUUUGAGAUACUAUUUGGACAUCCACCUAUUCAGGCAUAACCAUUUGCCUAUACCUCACUGUUAGAAGGGGAUACAAUCAUUGCUACAUAUAAUAUCAGAUAAUUACAAACAAAAUUGCAAGAACUCCAUGACUCUGGAGCUGCUAUUCAAGCAGGCCCCAUUGAUUUCUCAUUUUAUGAUUUAAACCCAGGUGAUAGUGUGUACGUAAAGAAUUUUAAACAUACUGGGUCAACUGAACCUGCUUAUGAUGGACCAUCCCAGGUCCUAGUAACUACAUCAACAGCCAUAAAAAUUGGAGAGAGGUACUCUUGGAUUCAUUGUAGCCAUGCAAAGGACUUUCUGAAGAGAAACCUGAGCAGACUUUACCUCAACUCCUGUUGCCCAUGGGUGAGUCAAACUGAUUUUCUCUCAGGGGGCUCAGGCUGACAAAGCCUCAGUUUCCCCAAACUUGAGGAGAAGAUAAAGGAUUUAGAUAGAGACAGGGACCUCUUUUCCCCACAUUCCUUUCCCAUUCUUCCCUGCCUGUUAUUCCUUUUGUAUUACCUGACUGAGUUGACAUUAAAAGUUAUCUGUUCCCCAAGCUGAGUGUGAACAACAGAUCAAGAGGAGACCCUUUAGUCUCGAGUAGUGGAGGGGGGGAAAGAGGGACAAUAGCAAAUUGGGGAGAGCAGCUUUAGCUAAGGAGGGAAGGCAGAAGGGGGAAAAUCUUCAAACCCCCUCUCCUCUCUCUGAGCCGACCCAAAACAUCACCUGUCUCCCAUAAACCCCACUUUGAGAAAAGGGCAGUUCUAUACUCUUUCCCCCUUUCUAUACUGAAAGGCUGAACUCUUCUGUUAAAAAUUAACCUCCCCUUUUUAAUACAGAUCACAGGGGGAAUGUAUUGAUUUAGAAUCUUGGACCCUAGAGACUACAUUUCCCACAAUCCCAUUUUCCUCUUCCUCUUUGGGUUUCUCCUUAUGUGGAGGACAUUUUGAGUUUACAUUUCUGCCCACUCUCUCUCUCUUGGGCUGGUAUCAGCAUGAAGGAGGGAGUGACUUUUUGGCCUUGUUCUGUUUUUUUUUUUUUAAUUUCUCUGAUUCUUUUUAAUGUCUCUCUGCUCUAAGUGGGUUUUUAAUAAAUAAUAUUAAAAUAAUACUUGGAAUAUUCA
RNAcentral lists this long non-coding RNA (1191 nucleotides) under Monodelphis domestica (gray short-tailed opossum). Its description in RNAcentral is "lncRNA (ENSMODG00000048957.1)". The record is from RNAcentral. Lineage: Eukaryota; Metazoa; Chordata; Mammalia; Didelphimorphia; Didelphidae.